CCUGCUAGUUGCCAGCGGGUCGAUGCCGGGGACGUCUAGCGGAACUGCCAGCGUAAGCUGCGAGGAAGUGGGGAUGACGUCAAAUCAGCACGGCCCUUACGUCCAGGGCUACACACGUGUUACAAUGGCCAGUACAGAGGGCAGCCACCCCGCGAGGGGGCGCUAAAUCCUAAAAAGCUGGUCCCAGUUCGGAUCGGAGUCUGCAACCCGACUCCGUGAAGCUGGAUUCGCUAGUAAUCGCGCAUCAGCCACGGCGCGGUGAAUACGUUCCCGGGCCUU
Molecule: ribosomal RNA, 279 nt
Filed under: uncultured Rikenellaceae bacterium
Lineage: Bacteria; Pseudomonadati; Bacteroidota; Bacteroidia; Bacteroidales; Rikenellaceae
Description: partial 16S ribosomal RNA
Rfam family: Bacterial small subunit ribosomal RNA
Source: RNAcentral